Long non-coding RNA from Pseudophryne corroboree (corroboree frog), 1818 nucleotides. RefSeq lists it as uncharacterized. The record is from RefSeq and is a predicted model, not a curated record. The transcript is spliced from 2 exons. NCBI's taxonomy places the organism in Eukaryota, Metazoa, Chordata, Amphibia, Anura, Myobatrachidae.
UCCACGAUCACUGACAGCUGCCGCUGGUGGAUGAUAACAAGACUGAUGGCCGUAUGCAGACACUGACAAAAUCCCUGGGAUUCAGGAGCAGAUCUGAAUCCCUGCAAGCUUUAACCAGGAGAUUGGGUGUAUCUGGAAAGAUACGUGAGAGUCACUUGAGCCCAGAUUUGAUGCUCCGUAUCAAGUGUUGCUGACCACGCCCACUUCUGUGAAAAUUAAAGAGAGAGAGACUUGGGUCCCACUGCAAACUUGCCCAAGUUAAGUUUGAACAAUGAAAUACACAAACAUGCAGAGGCUAAUUGGGCCUAAACUAGACAGGCCACUAUGGGUCAUUAUAUUGGGUACUUCAGUACUCAUUGUAGUCAUAGUAUACUCUAUAUCCCUCAUAGGAGAGAGCAGGGACUGGCAUGUCUGCCAAUCCAAAGCUACAUACCGAAAACUGGUAUGUAGAAGUGUGGUAUCCGAGCCACUAAAUCUUGCGUCCAUUCAAUGAAAGUAAAGAUCAUGAAAUUUCCAGGGUUUCAAAGAUACCAGUUAGUUAAGAGAUGCUGGGCUCACAUGAGCCCACAUCUGUCCCCCUUACAUAUGAGCGUAUGGGGGUUUCUAGAUUUCUUUGGAGCAAAUACAUACUAUAAAAUAGAGUAUGACACUUUUUUUAGAUAUGUAUGAAGAGAACUCCAAGAAUGUGUUCUACAUCUAUUACUAAUGAAACAGAUAACGCGCAAGAAGUGGUACAGAGAUAUGUCCAAGAAAUAGAAAAUGAAAAAUAAGCAUAAGCCAACAAACCUAAUACCCGUGACACUCUAGAGCAGGGGUAGCCAACCCUGGUCCUCGAGAGCUACCAACAGUUAACGUUUUCCAGGUCUCUUCACAGAAUCACAAGUUAAGUAAUUUGCUCCACCUGUAGAUCUUUUAAAUGUCAGUGAGUAGUGACUGCACCAGUGCACGAAGGUGAGCUGGAAAAUGUGAACUGUUGGUAGCUCUCGAGGACCAGGGUUGGCUACCACUGGUUUAGAGGGUGACUGGGGAUGGUUAUCAUGGCUAAAUCCUACUAAAUUGUUUAGUGAAAUCAAAGGAUGGAUUGUUGGAAAUUUUGAUGUUUUUAUUACAAAUUGUUGGCUUAGCAAUUUGCAUAUAUCUGUGUUUUAAGAUACUAUUUUGUUUCCUUUCAGCUUGCAAAAAGUCUAUAAACUCAAGAUUUGAAACCUCCAAGUUUAAGAAGUUACAGAAGAGCUUGGAAAGAAAGAGCCGUGAGCAGUCUACCUUAAUGGAUUUGAGUGAAUGGCCAUCAACCCUCCAUUGGAUAAAGUGAAAAGCACCAUCUCUCGGGGAUAUAGCCAUUAGCACCAUCAUAGCUAGACUGUUUGCCCAGACUCGUUAGGUAGAGAUUUUGUAAUGCCUCAUAGCUCAAGUGUAAUAUGAGAUUAUUAUAAAAAGGAGGGAAUGAAAGAGACGGCAUCAUGCUAAAGUAGUUUUCAGCCAUCUUGUAUCACAGUAGCCAUUUUUGUCUGAAUAUAAAGAAACGCUUUUGCUUUAAAGUUAUAAGUAAUGCUGACAUUUUAUUAGUUAGAGAGAAGUUCCUCUGAGAAUCAAGGUUAAGCAAUUUGCUUAUCUCCUGGAACAUGUUUUGAGAACAGUGGUGUUUUGAGAAUGGUAUCUACAGACUGACUUUCAAGGAUUGUAAUGUCUCAUAAUUUCUAUGUGUGAGAAAUGACACCUAUGCUUGUGUUUUGUGACGUGUAACAAAUUCCUGUAUACUGUAUGUCUAUAAGAACCCCUAGACAAUAAACUGCUGUGGGCUCAUUCUUAUGAAAAUAA